RNAcentral lists this ribosomal RNA (463 nucleotides) under uncultured bacterium. RNAcentral describes it as "partial 16S ribosomal RNA". It matches the Rfam family "Bacterial small subunit ribosomal RNA", at positions 28 to 507 of the family's 1533-position model. The record is from RNAcentral.
GAUGAACGCUGACAGAAUGCUUAACACAUGCAAGUCUUUGGCGAAGCUGUGCUCGCACAGCCUAGCCAAGGCGGACGGGUGAGUAACGCGUAAGGAACUUGCCCUGCAGUCAGGGAUAACAGACGGAAACGACUGAUAUGACCUGGUAAAGUCAGGCGGACUCAUGUCCAGCCUGAUGAAAAGAGAUGCUGCAGGAGAGGCUGGCGUCCUAUUACCUUGUUGGUGGGGUAACGGCCCACCACGCCGAUGAUAGGUGGCCGGCCUGAGCGGGUGGACGGCCAAAAGGGGAACGAGAUACGGCCCUUACUCCUACGGGAGGCAGCAGUGGAGAAUAUUGGAGAAUGGGCGCGACCCUGAUCCAGCAAUUCUGGGUGUACGAUGAAGGUUUUCGGAUAGAAAAGUGCUUGCAGAAGAGAAGAAAAAAAUGACGGUACCUGCAGAAGAAGCGACGGCUAAAUACGUG